RNAcentral lists this ribosomal RNA (2036 nucleotides) under Clostridioides difficile. RNAcentral describes it as "bacterial LSU rRNA". It matches the Rfam family "Bacterial large subunit ribosomal RNA", at positions 866 to 2925 of the family's 2925-position model. Lineage: Bacteria; Bacillati; Bacillota; Clostridia; Peptostreptococcales; Peptostreptococcaceae. The record is from RNAcentral.
AGCUUUAGGGCUAGCCUCAAGGUGAGAGAUACGGAGGUAGAGCACUGAAUGUCCUAGGGGGUAUUGCACCUACCGAAGACUAUCAAACUCCGAAUGCCGUCAUCUUAUACUUGGGAGUCAGACUGUGGGUGAUAAGAUUCAUAGUCGAAAGGGCAACAGCCCAGAUCGUCAGCUAAGGUCCCUAAAUGUAAGUUAAGUGGUAAAGGAUGUGGGAUUGCACAGACAACCAGGAUGUUGGCUUAGAAGCAGCCACUCAUUCAAAGAGUGCGUAAUAGCUCACUGGUCGAGUGAUCCUGCGCCGAAGAUUUCCGGGGCUAAAACUUACUACCGAAGCUACGGCAUCAGUAAUGAUGGGUAGGGGAGCUUCCCAUACGGGUUGAAGCAUGACCGUAAGGACAUGUGGACAGUAUGGGAGUGAGAAUGUUGGCAUGAGUAGCGAGAUGUGGGUGAGAAUCCCACAGGCCGUAAACCCAAGGUUUCCAGGGGAAGGUUCGUCCGCCCUGGGUUAGUCGGGACCUAAGCUGAGGCCGAAAGGCGUAGGUGAUGGACAACAGGUUGAUAUUCCUGUACUACCGAUAACCGUUUGAGAGAAGGGAUGACACAGUAGGAUAAGCUAAGCACACUGUUGGUUAUGUGUGCCCAAGCAUUGAGGCAGUCAAAGUAGGCAAAUCCGCUUUGAUAAUGCUGGGAUGUGAUGGGGAGCGAAAUUUAGUAGCGAAGUAGCUGAUUUCACACUGUCAAGAAAAGUCUCUAUCGAGGUUAAAGGUACCCGUACCGCAAACCGACACAGGUGGGUGAGGAGAGUAUCCUAAGGCCAGCGAGAGAACUGUUGUUAAGGAACUCGGCAAAAUGACCCCGUAACUUAGGGAUAAGGGGUGCCACCAUCAGGUGGCCGCAGAGAAUAGGCCCAAGCGACUGUUUACCAAAAACAUAGGUUUCUGCUAAGUCGCAAGACGAUGUAUAGGAGCUGACGCCUGCCCGGUGCUGGAAGGUUAAGGGGAUCUGUUAGAGCAAUCGAAGCAGUGAACUUAAGCCCCAGUAAACGGCGGCCGUAACUAUAACGGUCCUAAGGUAGCGAAAUUCCUUGUCGGGUAAGUUCCGACCCGCACGAAAGGCGUAACGAUUUGGGCACUGUCUCAACAACAGACUCGGUGAAAUUGUAAUUCCGGUGAAGAUGCCGGAUACCUGCGACAGGACGGAAAGACCCCAUGGAGCUUUACUGUAGCUUGACAUUGGGUCUUGGUACUACAUGUACAGGAUAGGUGGGAGGCUUUGAAACCAGGACGCCAGUUUUGGCGGAGCCAUCCUUGGGAUACCACCCUUGUAGUACUGGGACUCUAACCAUAGGCCAUGAAUCUGGUCUUGGGACACUGUCAGGUGGGCAGUUUGACUGGGGCGGUCGCCUCCCAAAAGGUAACGGAGGCGCUCAAAGGUUCUCUCAGUACGGUCGGAAAUCGUACGUAGAGUGUAAAGGCAAAAGAGAGCUUGAUUGCAAGACAUACAGGUCGAGCAAGGAUGAAAAUCGGACUUAGUGAUCCGGUGGUUCUGCGUGGAAGGGCCAUCGCUCAACGGAUAAAAGCUACCCUGGGGAUAACAGGCUUAUCUCCCCCAAGAGUCCACAUCGACGGGGAGGUUUGGCACCUCGAUGUCGGCUCAUCACAUCCUGGGGCUGUAGUAGGUCCCAAGGGUUGGGCUGUUCGCCCAUUAAAGUGGUACGCGAGCUGGGUUCAGAACGUCGUGAGACAGUUCGGUCCCUAUCCGUCGCAGGCGUAGGAAAUUUGAGAAGACCUGUCCUUAGUACGAGAGGACCGGGAUGGACGUACCUCUGGUGUACCAGUUGUCCUGCCAAGGGCAUGGCUGGGUAGCUAUGUACGGAAUGGAUAAGCGCUGAAAGCAUCUAAGCGCGAAGCCAACUUCAAGAUAAGAUUUCCCACCGCAAGGGUAAGACCCCAGAAAGACUAUCUGGUUGAUAGGUCGAAGGUGUAAGUGCAGCAAUGUAUUUAGCUUAUCGAUACUAAUAGGUCGAGGACUUGACC